Long non-coding RNA from Odontomachus brunneus, 3346 nucleotides. RefSeq lists it as uncharacterized. The transcript is spliced from 3 exons. The record is from RefSeq and is a predicted model, not a curated record. Lineage: Eukaryota; Metazoa; Arthropoda; Insecta; Hymenoptera; Formicidae.
AGAUCUCUGAAUUUUGUCUGUUUUCCUCGCAUGACCUCCUCCCUCUUCGCCACUCGAAUCCCGGUGCUGCCGUCGUUUUCAACAAGGAAAUCGCGUCCCGAUAAGAUCAUCGCGCUCGCGCGUUCCACACAACUAUUCAUUACCUCGAUUAUUUACAAUGAUUUUCAUGCACACUUAUAUACGAACGUCCACGCAUUUUUAUAACUCGUAUCCGGGAUAUAACGAGGUCAUGACACGUUAAUAUUGCGUCGAAAAGUAUUUAUAGCAUAGCGGUGCGAUAAUGUAUGUGCGUGCGAUUUAAAAUUAUCGCGAAGCCGGAAUAUUCGAGUCGAUGAUACCGUUUAAUGGCGGCAACGCGCGCCAAGUCGACAUAGAAAACCAUACAUAUCGAGCGUAAAGCGAACAGAGUCCCGAUGGGUACCCGGAUACGCGCUUUGCAUCCACAAGAGGCGGUACCGGUGUGCUCUUCAGUUGCUACAACUCUUCACACAGAAAGGUAAACCGACUAAGAGCCGCACAACCAACCCAGUUGUGUGUCCAGAGGCAAUAUUCGCAUCGUUUGCGAUGCCAACUUCCGACAGACCAAACGCUGCUUUUCAUUAUGCGAAAAGCACGUGGCCAGAAGAAGCAAAAUUAUGAGAUAGGAGAGAGGAGAAAGCAAAACACUUUGAAAACACUUUGUGUUAACAAUGGCUACGUCUUGCUGCGAAAGAAGAAGAGGAAAAAUAGCAAACUUAUCGUGCUCUCUGUAAUCUCAACACAACAGCCUCUACGAUCGUGCGAAUUUUAACCUUAUAGACGAUACACAUAUAAGGUCAUCAGCAGAUAAAAGGUCAACGACGUACUGUCCGAAGUUCAAAACAAGCUUCUCAGAAUUGUCGAUAAUGUAUUGAUUGAAGAAUGUAUUGGAAAGAGGGGCAUGAUGAGUAUGCUAAAAAGGUAUCGAUCAGAUAACUAAAUACUUACGCUCAACUGUUCAUUAUCAUGAGAGUAAACUCAAUUAAAUUUAUAUCAAUGUGCCCUAUGACAAUGGAAAUCUUUGAGAAAUAUUCUAAAAUUCAUGUAAUCACAAGAGCGAAACGUUGAUACAUUACAGGGUUGUCAGAUAGCAGUCUCCUUCGAGAAGGAUUGUCCUCUUUAGACAAAAUUUUCACGUUCUGUCAAAGACGCUAUUUGUCCUUCCCACCGCAUCGAGGGAGGACUUUUUUGCUCGUCAGACGUGGUGCGGUCUAUCGAACUUAUCUUACGUCGCCACAAGUUCAUCUUGAGAUAUUCCUCAACACCUGACCACGAAUACCACAGGAGUACCACACGCGAAUCGGGGAAAUAGGAAUACGUGACGUAUAUAAAUUCCAAAAUUCAACGAAGCAUUCAGGUAAAGAAAUAUUGAAAACUGCCGUUCACAAAAGUAUAUGUUGACCAGAUGUACCCUACUCAGCAAUCUUUUCUUUUCUUUUUCAAAACUUAUGGCCGUCCUGUCAACUCACAAAUCUGGCAACCCUAAGCCGAUUAGAAGAUUAGGGACACUCUAAAGCGAUAUAACGAACGCACAAACAUAAACAUAUCACUAUCUCCCAUUAUUUCUUGUAGGUUUAAAUUAAAAUUGGCAUUCGUACGAUACUACUGGCAAUUGUAUGAUACUAUCUCCAAUUGCUUGGUGAAAUUGAUUGAAGAAUGUAUUGAAAUGAGUGAUAUAGUAGUGAGUAUGUGAAAAGGUAUCGAACAGAAAUCAGAUGACUAAAUAUUUGACUCAACUUUUCCAUUAUCAUAAGAGUAAACGCAGCCGAGUCCAUAUCGAAAUCUCCGAAGCACGGUUCAGUGCCUGAAAGUUUUGAGAUAUCGCGAAAUUCAUGCAUUCAUAUACGAAAAAGAAAUUUCAGUUUGUCUGAACUUGUUCGGCCGCAUUGAAACUCGGUUGAGGUAACUGAGAGCAAUUGGCAGGAGUGAGAAUCUACGGGAAUCUUUCUGUUCCCACACAUUCAAGUUUUCCAUCUAGUUUUCAAACAACAGACAAUUCACACUAACGGAGUUGUUUUUUUCUGUGUAAACAGAAUGUCGAUAUACAGCCAACCGAAAGAUUAGCGGCGCUUUAAAGCGCGAUACCUCGACGAUCACGAGCUCAAACUUAUUACAGUGUAUCCCUCAUUGUUUCCUGCGUGUCCGAAUCCAAAUUGACAUUCGCGAUUGCGUACGAUACUACCUCUAAUUGCUCGGCGAAAUUACUCGACGUACCUUAUAUCAUUCGGAUCUCAACAACUUGCUGCGUCUGUUUACGAUUCGCCGAGGAAAGGAAACGUGGUUCGAGCUUUUCCACGCGACGUGAACUUCUCGUUCCAAUGCAAAAGGAAUUCGACAAACCCGGAAUGAGGAACUCCACGGUCACGCGGUUCGCCACCCACGUUCCGUCUUAUUCAUAGUUUCAGCAGCGAGCAGAGGCGAACGCACAAGAGUACGUGUUAUAAUACACAUUCGUCAUUGGAAAGCCGAUAAUUUUGGGACCAGAGCGAAAUGUCAAGUUUCAGUCCGAGUGCCGUACCAGAACUUUCAACAUUCGACAAACUUAGCAGCGCGCAAGUGAACGCGCGCGCACGUGCGGCGUACUGCGACGGAACAGAAUACACGACGACAUAAAAUACGAAACGUUCAACAAGAACGACUGCAGCAAGAAUUUGGAAAUCAACAAGGGUAGAGUCGGGCUCUACUCAGGAUGCAACUUUUGUUUGACUGUAUAUGCAUCUUAGUGUAAAAAAACUGCAAUAUAAUGAGAGUUUCUAUUAUAUUCCUACUAAAAUACACAAAAAUUACACAAUUUUUUCGUUUCUGCUGUAUGGUUCCAAGAAAAAACUUAAGAUGUACUUUGAGAAAACUUUAACUGAGUUAAGUAUUACCUAAUCUUGUGUAGUUACAUUGAGAAAAAGAUACUUGUAAAGAGAACGGUUAAGCUUUUAUAAGCUUUUAGUGGCAGAAUCUUUUUAGUGGCUUUAUUUAGUGGCAGAAUCUUAAAUUAUUUUUUUUUUAUAAAACUGAUGGGUAGACUAAAGAGAGAAAGAUAUCAAAUAAGUAUCAAAGUGAUGUGUCCAAAUAGAUAUGAUGUCGAAACAAAUAGGUAUUGUUAAAAAACUUACAAGAAACUUAAUACUUACGUAUAAGAAAUGUUGCAAGAAAUGGGGGAGGGAGAGAGACAGAGAUAAAAGUUCUUAUCAAUAAAAUAAUACGCAUUACAAAUACUAAUAAUACUUAAUAAUUUAUGGUGACUUUUAUCAAGCUCCGAUUAACUUCAUCGCCAAUUAAUAGGGCUACUCUUGGCGGUACUAUUUAUGUGAAAUAAAGUUUAUGCCCUGCAAAU